AUUGAACGCUGGUGGCAUGCUUUACACAUGCGAGUCGAACGGUAACAGGCCUUCGGGUGCUGACGAGUGGCGAACGGGUGAGUAAUGCAUCGGAACGUGCCCAGAGGUGGGGGAUAACGCAGCGAAAGCUGUGCUAAUACCGCAUGUGAUCUGAGGAUGAAAGCGGGGGACCAGGCAGCAAUGUUUGGCCUCGCGCCUUUGGAGCGGCCGAUGUCAGAUUAGGUAGUUGGUGGGGUAAAGGCCUACCAAGCCGACGAUCUGUAGCUGGUCUGAGAGGACGACCAGCCACAAUGGGACUGAGACACGGCCAAGACUCCUACGGGAGGCAGCAGAGGGGAAUUUUGGACAAUGGGCGCAAGCCUGAUCCAGCAAUGCCGCGUGCGAGAAGAAGGCCUUGGGGUUGUAAACCGCUUUUGUACGGAACGAAAAGGCUCUGGCUAAUACCUGGGGCUGAUGACGGUACCGUAAGAAUAAGCACCGGCUAACUACGUG
Molecule: ribosomal RNA, 492 nt
Filed under: uncultured bacterium
Lineage: Bacteria
Description: partial 16S ribosomal RNA
Rfam family: Bacterial small subunit ribosomal RNA
Source: RNAcentral